This is a long non-coding RNA of Equus caballus (horse), 2661 nucleotides long. NCBI's taxonomy places the organism in Eukaryota, Metazoa, Chordata, Mammalia, Perissodactyla, Equidae. The record is from Ensembl.
CUCAGGACAAGAGAUGGAAUCUGCAGUGUCUUUUAUGACCUCGACCUGGGGCCACACUGUCACCUCUGUGACAGUCUGUUGGGUGCACAGACAAGCCCUAGAAGGACAUGGGGAGCCUGCACGAGGGUUUGAACACCAGGAGGCAGACAUCACGGGGGCACAGGCUGCCCUCUGGCCAUGAUCCGCUCCCUCUCAUGAGCAAACGCGCCCACGCCCUCCAGGCCCCAGAGUCUCAUCCUGUCACAGCAGCAGCUCGAGUCUUAACAACGUCGUGGGUCUCCUGUGGACCUUUUGGAGUUCAUUCCAUUGGUCAGACACCAAGUUCACGGUCUCUUUGAGGUGAUCGCUCUGUCUCCUGGGUGUCUGCUGCGGUGGGAGGGUGAUGCCUAGCGUCUCCUGGAGCUGGAGCAUUGGCCUGUGAGGACUGCCGGACGCGCCCGCAAUCCCCUGGAAGGGUCGCCAGCAGCUUUCGGGCCCUGCCGUCUGCUGUCUGCUGUCUGGAGACCUGGGGCCACGGUUCAUUCUCUCCCGGGUUCUGAGUGUCCUGUGACACAGCAGCUGCCCCCCCACAGCCAGUGACCCAGGAGACGGAGAGCAGCGAGACGUGAGCCACCUGUCCUUACAACCUGAUCUUGGAAGUGACAUGGCGUUGCGACCAGGCCCGCCACUGCUGCUGUGCAACUCAUGUGAACACACGGAAGCUGGAACCUUCCGUAGCACACGGCCAAAACACAUUUCCCAAAUAUGCUCACACUGGCGAGGAAACAGACACAGCAGGUGGGGAGCUGGGAGCCCCCUUACUUGCCAGGGCCACAAGAAUGUCGAAGGCAGACCACGUGCCUCCCACACCUGACCGUCUCGGGAAGCGGCUGGUGGAAGGAUCUAGAAGGUGGUGGGUGUCGGGUGCUCCUCUCCGCUCUCUGCUCUUUGAUGCUGUUGUGCUCAGUCUGCGUCUCAGAUGUGUUUCCUACCAGGGGACCCUGAUACGGUGCAGCCGAGGAGCAUGGACGGGCCGUGGGUCAGCGUGAUGCAGACUUCCCCAGUGGUCCUCAGGGGCAGGCACUGGGGAGGGGGGCAGGCUGCCAGCAGCAUCUUGGGUCACCGAGGAUGCGAAGGUGACUGGAGGACUCGGGGCCUCUGUGGGGCGUCCUCCACUUCCCAAAGACAGAUUCUCAGGGACUUGGAGGGGACCAAGCGUCAAGCUAGGGAAUCAAGAAAAAGACCCUCAGCAGUCCCGUGGGUGGACAAGGACAGACGGAGAGGGCAAGGCCCGAGGAAUCGCCUCGAUGCUGAGCGUGGACGUGUGACGUGGAUGAAGGGUCCUCGCGCCAGGCCUGGCUCCGGGCAAGGGUUGACUGGCUGUGUGGCAGCCCAGAGCCCCUCCAGCUGGGCCCCCCACGCUGGGCCCCCCACGCCCUUUCCCUCCUCAGUUCUUGGUCUUCCGCACUCGGAGUCUGCUGGGGCAGAGGGAAUGUCCCCCUUGGCCCCCAGGUGCCAGAUUUGUGGGGACUCUGCAGAAACGAACCUGCUGGCGAAGUUUGGGUGAGGACGAAGCCAGAAAAUCAGAAGCUGCUGCUCACGCUCUGGGAAUGGGUGCCCCUCGGAUGUCAGCUCCUGCUGGGCUUCUGGGAGGGAGCACGAUCCCUGCUGGAUGGUAAAUCACCAAAAACGCGUCAACCCACCCGUACAGGAAGGUUCCCAGCCAGGGGGAGAAGAGAGCUUCCUCGUUUCCAGGAGUGAAGCCAACGUCCUCUCUUCAUAAGCAAGAACCACAGAUGAACAGAGAAAAUACAUUUUCAGUAGCCAGCCGUCAUUGAGACCUUUCUAGGUACAAAACCGUCUUCCGAUCAGUUCACGCACAUUAAUACGCUGAGUCGUCUCCUCAGCCCGGGGAGGGAAGCCCCUCAGGACCCAUUGACAGAUGUGGAAACAGAGGCGCCAGAAGAGGAACAGCACCUGAGGGCGCCGGCUGGCGCGUGCAGGGCUGAGCUUCACGGGCGGCAGCUUCAGAGGGGUGGGUCCCUACGUGGGGCACGUCAGGGUGCAGGCCAGGACCUACCCCUCCUGGAGGGCGGAAAGAGGAGCCUGUGAGUCAGUGAGCCAACAGCCACGGCCUGCUGGUGACAGGCAGACCCAGAGGACAAAGGUAUCCGGGGGCUUCUCCCUUCCUGAAGCGCCAAAACUCAGAAACCAUCAACAGCAGUCUCCUCUGGGUGCGACAUGAAGAAAGAAAAUUAAUGCAGCUGCUCAGACUCAAGGACUCGCGCUCCUCCCAGCGCCCCUCACCUCUGAAUCACCACCUCUGGCUGAGGACAGGGGCUCCUGGGCUCAAUAUCGUGAGGCUCUCGGCUGAACGGAGUGAUCUGGAUCAUACUCCUUUGCCUAAAACUAAAUGCACGAUGCGACCCGUCCCUUUUCAAAUAAAGUAGGACGAACCACACACCCCGUCAGUGCGGACGGUGGUGUAACGAGGGCGAAGGCCCCAGCACCAGGGUCUUGGGCAGGAACUCUCCCUGGACACACCGUGCUCUGCACACGCCCGCUUUCUCCCCUGGGAUGCCCUCUCCUGUCUUGAUGUGGACUUUCACUGGUUAUUCUUCUCUCUGAUAAUUAAAUUAUUUUCAUAGUGUUUUAAUUACAUUCAUAGCAACUUAUACAAAA